UUAUUAAUUAUAUUAUAUUGGUUUUUUGUUUUAUUUUUGUUUAAUAUAAAUAAUUUUAUUAAUUUUUGUCUUGGUAUAUUUUGUAGAAUUGAUUUUUUUUUGUAAUAGUUUAUUUGUAAUGUAAUUGAUUUAUGAAAUAUAAUUUAUAUUUUUAAAAGUAGAUUUGUUUUAUUGUACCUUUUGUAUCAGGGUUUAUUAAAAUUUUUUAUUUAUAUAUAUUUAUCUCGAUAUAGGUUGAUUUAUAAAUAAUUUUUAGUUAAUGUGUUAUAAUUAUUAUAAAAUUAUUUAUAGAAUGAAAUGUUAUUCGUUUCCUAAGAUAUCUAGUUUCUUAAGAAAAAAUUUAAUUUUUAAAACUUUAUGUUAUUUUUAUGUAAUUAAUUUUUAAUAUUAGUUUUAUUAUUUUUUAGGGGAUAAGCUCUAAAUUGAAUCUGANUAACAUAAAACCAGCUAUUUUAUUGAUUUCGUUUUAGUUCAUUUUAAAAAAAUUAUGAUUUUUUAAUUAUUUUAGUUUUGUUAUUAAGAUUUUUUAUUUAAUUUUGAAGUUUUUGUAAUAAUGAUAAAAUUAGUAUAAAAAUUUGUUUAUAAUGUUAUUUAAUUAUAAUUUAUUAUAAGGAAUUAGGCAAAGUAAUUUCCGCCUGUUUAUCAAAAACAUGUCCUCCUGAUAAUAUUUUGAGGUCUAGUCUGCUCACUGAUAAUAACUUUGAAGAGCCGCGGUAUUUUGACCGUGCAAAGGUAGCAUAAUCAUUAGUUUCUUAAUUAGAGGCUAGUAUGAACGGCUUGACGAGAAAUUAACUGUCUCUUAUUAAAUUUUAAAAUUUAACUUUUAAGUUAAAAGGCUUAAAUUUUUUUCAAGGACGAGAAGACCCUAUAGAGCUUUAUAUAUUAUUUUUUAAGAAAUUUUAGUUAAUAUUUUUAUAAUUAAGGGGUAUAUUUUGUUGGGGUGACAUAAAGAAUAAAUAAACUCUUUUUAUUAAAAUCAUUGAUUUAUGUUUAAUUAUGAUCCAUAAUUUAUGAUCAUAAGAUUAAGUUACCUUAGGGAUAACAGCGUAAUUUGUUUAGAGAGCCCAUAUUGACAAAUAAGAUUGCGACCUCGAUGUUGGAUUAAGAUAAAUUUUUAGUGCAGUAGCUAUAUAAUUAGGUCUGUUCGACCUUUAAAUUCUUACAUGAUCUGAGUUCAGACCGGCGUGAGCCAGGUCGGUUUCUAUCCUGAGAAACCUUAUUUUUAUUAGUACGAAAGGACCAUAAAAUUGAAAUAAUUUUUAUAUUAUUGAUAAAUAUUAAUUUACU
Molecule: ribosomal RNA, 1287 nt
Filed under: Ommatolampis quadrimaculata
Lineage: Eukaryota; Metazoa; Arthropoda; Insecta; Orthoptera; Acrididae
Description: 16S ribosomal RNA
Rfam family: Archaeal large subunit ribosomal RNA (bases 845-1214)
Source: RNAcentral